This 400-nucleotide long non-coding RNA is filed under the name Carica papaya (papaya). RNAcentral describes it as "long non-coding RNA (CPAP_LNC008247)". The record is from RNAcentral. Lineage: Eukaryota; Viridiplantae; Streptophyta; Magnoliopsida; Brassicales; Caricaceae.
UAGUGUGGGUUUGUUGGGUCGGGCCACGAGAUAAGGGCUAGCCUUCGAGUCUUGCUGAUGGGCCUCGGUCGACCCACCUGUAGUGACGUGCGGCAUGGGCUGCAUGUUAUUCUCGAGUGUGCAACUUAGUAACUUAUAGGUUGGGCCAAGCGGGCCAAGCAACGAGUCGAGUCACUCUGGUCGCCCGCUUGCAAGUGCAUCUCCUCCAUAUGCGUCCUCGGACACACCAUGUUCGUGGUAUGGGCUUUUUCAUAAUUCUCAUGCCCAUUAAUCUUACUUGGGCCUUAAGCCUUUUGGCUUAAAAAAACUUGGUCCAUCUUUUGGAAUAAUCUCAAUUAGAAAAAUAGCAAGGGAUGAAAUUACUUAUCUAUUCUAGAUGUUCCCGUUUAGAAAAUUGGAA